Molecule: ribosomal RNA, 531 nt
Filed under: uncultured bacterium
Lineage: Bacteria
Description: bacterial SSU rRNA
Rfam family: Bacterial small subunit ribosomal RNA
Source: RNAcentral
CCUUGACAUCCAGCGAACUUUCCAGAGAUGGAUUGGUGCCUUCGGGAACGCUGAGACAGGUGCUGCAUGGCUGUCGUCAGCUCGUGUUGUGAAAUGUUGGGUUAAGUCCCGCAACGAGCGCAACCCUUUAUCCUUUGUUGCCAGCGAUUCGGUCGGGAACUCAAAGGAGACUGCCGGUGAUAAACCGGAGGAAGGUGGGGAUGACGUCAAGUCAUCAUGGCCCUUACGAGUAGGGCUACACACGUGCUACAAUGGCGCAUACAAAGAGAAGCGACCUCGCGAGAGCAAGCGGACCUCAUAAAGUGCGUCGUAGUCCGGAUCGGAGUCUGCAACUCGACUCCGUGAAGUCGGAAUCGCUAGUAAUCGUGGAUCAGAAUGCCACGGUGAAUACGUUCCCGGGCCUUGUACACACCGCCCGUCACACCAUGGGAGUGGGUUGCAAAAGAAGUAGGUAGCUUAACCUUCGGGAGGGCGCUUACCACUUUGUGAUUCAUGACUGGGGUGAAGUCGUAACAAGGUAAGCGUAGCGAG